GGAAUGGCCUCAUUUCCAAGGAUGAGUUCAUCAGGAUGCUGAGAUCCUUCAUCGAGAUCUCCAACAACUGCCUGUCCAAGGCCCAGCUGGCUGAGGUGGUGGAGUCCAUGUUCCGGGAGUCGGGAUUCCAGGACAAGGAGGAGCUGACAUGGGAGGAUUUUCACUUCAUGCUGCGGGACCACAACAGCGAGCUCCGCUUCACGCAGCUCUGUGUCAAAGGGGUGGAGGUGCCUGAAGUCAUCAAGGACCUUUGCCGGCGAGCCUCCUACAUCAGCCAGGAGAUGAUCUGUCCCUCUCCCAGAGUGAGUGCCCGCUGUUCCCGCAGCGACAUCGAGACUGAGUUGACACCUCAGAGACUGCAGUGCCCCAUGGACACAGACCCUCCCCAGGAGAUUCGGCGGAGGUUUGGCAAGAAGGUAACGUCAUUCCAGCCCUUGCUGUUCACUGAGGCGCACCGAGAGAAGUUCCAACGCAGCCGUCUCCACCAGACGGUGCAACAGUUCAAGCGCUUCAUUGAGAACUACCGGCGCCACAUCGGCUGCGUGGCCGUGUUCUACGCCAUCGCUGGGGGGCUUUUCCUGGAGAGGGCCUACUACUACGCCUUUGCCGCACACCACACGGGCAUCACGGACACCACCCGCGUGGGAAUCAUCCUGUCGCGGGGCACGGCAGCCAGCAUCUCCUUCAUGUUCUCCUACAUCCUGCUCACCAUGUGCCGCAACCUCAUCACCUUCCUGCGAGAAACCUUCCUCAACCGCUACGUACCCUUCGACGCCGCCGUGGACUUCCAUCGCCUCAUUGCCUCCACCGCCAUCGUCCUCACAGGCAGGGCCUGGGUGUCCCGGGGAGGCUCUCCAGGGCCUCCCGCCCCCGCUGACUUCCCCGCCUAUGAAAGCCUCCCUCUCUGUUGGCACUUACCUUUAACGUCCUUCUCCAUAAGGAUGGAGUUGGCCUGGGCCAGGGUGUGAAGUAAGCCCGGGAGCCUGUCACUGGUCACUGCCAAGUGCCUCUUCCCACACUUUCCAGGGCACCUCACCAGCCUCAGCUGACAAGUUACUAACACCCCAGAAUGAGUGUGCAUACUGUGUCAUUUCUCCCAAUUUUUAUGUUUUAAAGCAUGACUCUGAGAGAAAGCAAAGGAGUGAACUUCUAAUGCUGUAAUUUCAGACUCACAUGGUUGUGUGCAUGGAUGGUGUGUCUGUGGGGUGUUGGGUAGGGCCAGGAGAUUGUUUAGAGGUCAGAAGUCCAGGCCGGCGCGGCGGCUUAUGCCCCUAAUCCCAGCACUUUGGGAAGCUGAGGCGGGCGGAUCACUCAAGGUCAGGAGUUCCAGACCAGCCUGGCCAACAUGGUGAAACACCAUCUCUACUAAAAAUACAAAAAUCAGCUGGGUGUGGUGGCACAUGCCGGUAAUCCCAGCUACUCAGGAGGCUGAGGCAGAAUUGCUUGAACCUGGGAGGCAGAGGUUGCAGUGAGCCGAGAUCGUGCCACUGCCCUCCAGCCUGGGUGACAGAGUGAGACUCCAUCUAAAAAAAAA
RNAcentral lists this small RNA (1534 nucleotides) under Pongo abelii (Sumatran orangutan). RNAcentral's name for it is "retained intron". Lineage: Eukaryota; Metazoa; Chordata; Mammalia; Primates; Hominidae. The record is from RNAcentral.